UUGGAGGGCAAGUCUGGUGCCAGCAGCCGCGGUAAUUCCAGCUCCAAUAGCGUAUAUUAAAGUUGUUGCAGUUAAAAAGCUCGUAGUUGAAUUUCGGAGUUUGUCGGUUGGUCAGGCUUAAUUGUCUGCAUUGGUGAGAUGGAUCUCUACCUUCUGAGGAACUUUCAUGCCAUUUAUUUGGUGUGAUGGGAAAUCAGGACUGUUACUUUGAAAAAAUUAGAGUGCUUAAAGCAGGCUUACGCUUGAAUAGAUUAGCAUGGAAUAAUAAAAUAGGACGGCAUGGUUCUAUUUUGUUGGUUUCUAGGAUCACCGUAAUGAUUAAUAGGGAUAGUUGGGGGCAUUAGUAUUCAAUUGUCAGAGGUGAAAUUCUUGGAUUUAUUGAAGACUAACUUCUGCGAAAGCAUUUGCCAAGGAUGUUUUCAUUAAUCAAGAACGAAAGUUAGGGGAUCGAAGACGAUCAGAUACCGUCGUAGUCUUAACCAUAAACUAUGCCGACUAGGGAUCGGACGAUGUUAAUUUUUUAAUGACUCGUUCGGCGCCUUACAGGAAAC
RNAcentral lists this ribosomal RNA (551 nucleotides) under uncultured Diversisporaceae. RNAcentral describes it as "SSU rRNA". It matches the Rfam family "Eukaryotic small subunit ribosomal RNA", at positions 548 to 1098 of the family's 1831-position model. Lineage: Eukaryota; Fungi; Glomeromycota; Glomeromycetes; Diversisporales. The record is from RNAcentral.